Long non-coding RNA from Hippocampus comes (tiger tail seahorse), 2470 nucleotides. RefSeq lists it as uncharacterized. The record is from RefSeq and is a predicted model, not a curated record. The transcript is spliced from 3 exons. NCBI's taxonomy places the organism in Eukaryota, Metazoa, Chordata, Actinopteri, Syngnathiformes, Syngnathidae.
GUCCCGCGACUGAACUUUCUACGGGCACAUCGCAGUCAUCCUCAUUAGAUCGUAAUCCAACCAGCCACCCAAUCCAUCAAUCCUGCCCUUAAUUUCUGAUUCAUGUGUGUGUUUGUGUGUAGGAGGAGAACCCCGAGGCAGUGGACAAUCUUGGCACGUUUGUUCCCUCCGAUCGCCCGGUCCUUAAUAAUGACUUUUUCUACAAGAAGCGACACUCCAAAUGCGGCAUGGCAACUUCAUUAAAGAUGAUCUAAUCUGGAGUCUGCAGGCCUUGUGUCUGUGAGUUCUGGUCUUCCACACAAUAUGGGGACGAAUGCCUAACAAAUGACAUCAUGGGGACAUCUUUCAGCGUGGGGACCAAAAAUCAAGGGAAGCCCAAAAUACGAAAUGUUAAGGUUUUAGCAUUAAUGUAGGUGUGUGCACUGGUUUUCACCAUUGUGGAGGAACAAGAGUGAUCUUGCAGUCACCUCAUGAAAAUCAUGUCAAUGUGGGGACCAAAAAAAAAAAAAAAAUCAAGGAAAGCUCCAAUUCUGAAAGUGUUAACCAUUUACUGUAUGUGUCUGUGUGUGUGUGUUCCAAAAGUCAGUCUACAUACACUGUCAAGUCACGGGGAUAUCUUUCAGUUUGGGGAACAAACGGCGAGGAAAGACCAAACUAUGAAUGUAAUAUUCUAGAGGUUUCUUUGACAUUUUUAGAAUUGGUAGAUUCAUGCAUGUGUAUGUGUGUUCUGGUAUUCAUGAACAUGUGGGGAGAUAUGACAGUUCACAGAGCCAUGAUUUUUUUUUUUAAUGUUUUAAGUGGCCCCUUUCACUGAUGUCAAACAUGAACUUACAAGAAUUUAGUCAGAAAUAGUGCAAAAAAUGUGCACUGUCACAUAGUAUCUGCAGAAAAAAAGUAAAAAUAAAACGUAAAAUAUUGUCAUGAGAAUGCUACAUUUUAUUUGCUUCACCCCCCCUCCCCCCAAAAAAUUUUUAAAAAUAAACAUUUUCAAGUACUACAAAAAAAUGUUCUCGACCGCAUUGCACUUUUGUGCAAAAUCCUACUCAACUCAAUUCAAGCGACAGCAGACACUUUGAAUUAGACGCUGAACAAUGAAAGGAAUUCAAAUUGACAUCGCGAUUUAGUGGAAUGCUAUUUUCAAAUGGUAAAGGAUGCAGUCUGGGGAAAAAAAAAAACCUUUGCUUAGUCUGUGUUAUUUUUCCAUCUGUAAUUUAUGUAUUUAUAUGGCGUCUCAAUAAGUUCAGUGCUUUUAAGUGCGGUCCAGAUGUUGACAUAAAAAGCUGAAGUGACAAAGCCAUAGAUUGGUUUGCAUGAGCUGAUUUAUGACAGAUUCAUGCGUGCAUCACACUUGGGUCUGUAGAAUUUUGUGAAGCGGUCGUCGUGAGCACUUGGAAGACUGCAAGUCCAAUCGCAACUCUUAGGUGAAGUCGCUAAACUGACUUUCAAUUCAUGGUUAAUUUGCCUUUAUUUUAGCAUAAGCUAAAGCUACGAGAACAAACAUGUAUAAGUCUGAUAUCUGUCUGAUAUUUAUUGUAACAGAUUACUUUAUUGCUGGGGCUCUUAAAAAAAAAAAUACAUGAAAAUAGACAUUGGGGAAAAAAUAAUCACAUAUUUUGCAGUCGUACUAUUGAGGAGUUUGGGGUGGGGGAAUUGCAAUGAGAUGAUAGUUCAAAAUCAUUCAUUCCUAAUUAAAAGUACCAAAAAAAAAAAAGCUGUGUUCCCCUGUUAAUAGAUCCCAUUGACAUUAAAACUGCACUUUUGCUUCUCAUCCAGCUGCAGCAAAGCUUCACAGUUGUGAGGGCGAGCUGACAUGAUGAAUGAGCACCCAAAAGUCGGACAAUGAGCUGCAUCAUUUCCUGAAGGAAACCGAGAUUCGAACAGAAACCCGCUGAACUGUGGUGGUGCUAACCAAAAAUCUUCUGCUGACACUGGUAACGUGCUGGAAGCAAAAUCAAAAACAAGAACGGAGAUACUGAGCCUGGAGGCCCUCAAUCGGAUCCCAAUGGUAUGGGCAGAAAUAUUCAUUUUCACUUGUCAGCGGACCGGCCACAUGUCACAACACAAGAGACGAAGUGAGUCACAAAGCUGCAUUCAUGUAUGAAAGUAAUUAAUCUGCGGUCCCGCUAAAUUCACUGGCGGGAUUGUUCGACAUAUGUCAGCGGUCGUGUCAAUUGUGCAGCAGAACAAGCAGGCUGCGGCGCGACAGUGUGAGAAGCGCAUACCAGAGAGGGGCUCAGUGAAAGUCAAGGGGAAGCGAAAAAGGGCCAUCAUAUUUAAACAUAAAUUUUCAGCCGCGAUCGCAUCAAACCCAAGUGAGCCCAGCUUACCCCUUUGGUGAACUCUUACAGUGAAGUGACGACACACGGCGGCCGAAGCCCUUACUGCCUGCGCAAAAAUUUUUUUUUAAUCUUCUAAAUAUUAAAGCAUCCUGAAUGUGCCCAUCACAUGAAUAAUUUGUUUAAAAGUAUAC